Molecule: transfer RNA, 77 nt
Filed under: Desulfobulbus sp.
Lineage: Bacteria; Pseudomonadati; Thermodesulfobacteriota; Desulfobulbia; Desulfobulbales; Desulfobulbaceae
Also listed under: 1 other name
Description: tRNA-Arg
Rfam family: tRNA
About the family: Transfer RNA (tRNA) molecules are approximately 80 nucleotides in length. Their secondary structure includes four short double-helical elements and three loops (D, anti-codon, and T loops).
Source: RNAcentral
GCGCUCGUAGCUCAGCUGGAUAGAGCACCGGCCUUCGAAGCCGGGUGCCGCAGGUUCGAAUCCUGCCGGGCGCACCA